This 253-nucleotide ribosomal RNA is filed under the name uncultured bacterium. Its description in RNAcentral is "partial 16S ribosomal RNA". It matches the Rfam family "Bacterial small subunit ribosomal RNA", at positions 524 to 776 of the family's 1533-position model. The record is from RNAcentral.
UACGUAGGGUGCGAGCGUUAAUCGGAAUUACUGGGCGUAAAGCGUGCGCAGGCGGUUAUGUAAGACAGAUGUGAAAUCCCCGGGCUCAACCUGGGAACUGCAUUUGUGACUGCAUAGCUAGAGUACGGUAGAGGGGGAUGGAAUUCCGCGUGUAGCAGUGAAAUGCGUAGAUAUGCGGAGGAACACCGAUGGCGAGGGCAAUCCCCUGGACCUGUACUGACGCUCAUGCACGAAAGCGUGGGGAGCAAACAGG